GACGAACGCUGGCGGCGUGCCUAAUACAUGCAAGUAGAACGCUGAAGAGAGGAGCUUGCUCUUCUUGGAUGAGUUGCGAACGGGUGAGUAACGCGUAGGUAACCUGCCUUGUAGCGGGGGAUAACUAUUGGAAACGAUAGCUAAUACCGCAUAACAAUGGAUGACACAUGUCAUUUAUUUGAAAGGGGCAAUUGCUCCACUACAAGAUGGACCUGCGUUGUAUUAGCUAGUAGGUGAGGUAAUGGCUCACCUAGGCGACGAUACAUAGCCGACCUGAGAGGGUGAUCGGCCACACUGGGGCUGGGACACGGCCCAGACUCCUACGAGAGGCAGCAGUAGGGAAUCUUCGGCAAUGGGGGCAACCCUGACCGAGCAACGCCGCGUGAGUGAAGAAGGUUUUCGGAUCGUAAAGCUCUGUUGUAAGUCAAGAACGGGUGUGAGAGUGGAAAGUUCACACUGUGACGGUAGCUUACCAGAAAGGGACGGCUAACUACGUG
RNAcentral lists this ribosomal RNA (497 nucleotides) under uncultured bacterium. RNAcentral describes it as "partial 16S ribosomal RNA". It matches the Rfam family "Bacterial small subunit ribosomal RNA", at positions 28 to 507 of the family's 1533-position model. The record is from RNAcentral.